UACGAGGGGUGCAAGCGUUAAUCGGAAUUACUGGGCGUAAGGCGCGCGUAGGCGGCUUGAUAAGUCGGAUGUGAAAGCCCUGGGCUCAACCUGGGAACUGCAUUCGAUACUGUCGAGCUAGAGUGUGGGAGAGGGUGGUGGAAUUUCCUGUGUAGCGGUGAAAUGCGUAGAUAUAGGAAGGAACACCAGUGGCGAAGGCGACACCUGGACUGAUACUGACACUGAGGUGCGAAAGCGUGGGGAGCAAACAGGAUUAGAACC
This 261-nucleotide ribosomal RNA is filed under the name uncultured bacterium. RNAcentral's name for it is "partial 16S ribosomal RNA". It matches the Rfam family "Bacterial small subunit ribosomal RNA", at positions 524 to 785 of the family's 1533-position model. The record is from RNAcentral.